CCUACGGGUGGCAGCAGUGAGGAAUAUUGGUCAAUGGACGAAAGCCUGAACCAGCCAAGUAGCGUGCAGGAUGACUGCCCUACGGGUUGUAAACCUCUUUUAUACGGGGAUAACAUGUUCCACGUGUGGGGUUCUGUAUGUACCAUAUGAAUAAGGAUCGGCUAAUUCCGUGCCAGCAGCCGCGGUAAUACGGAGGAUCCGAGCGUUAUCCGGAUUUAUUGGGUUUAAAGGGAGCGUAGGUGGAUUGUUAAGUCAGUUGUGAAAGUUUGCGGCUCAACCGGAAAAUUGCAGUUGAAACUGGAAGUCUUGAGUACAGUAGAGGUGGGCGGAAUUCGUGGUGUAGCGGUGAAAUGCUUAGAUAUCACGAAGAACUCCGAUUGCGAAGGCAGCUUACUGGACUGCAACUGACGCUGAGGCUCGAAAGUGUGGGUAUCAAACAGGAUUAGAUACCCGUGUAGUC
This 460-nucleotide ribosomal RNA is filed under the name uncultured bacterium. Its description in RNAcentral is "partial 16S ribosomal RNA". It matches the Rfam family "Bacterial small subunit ribosomal RNA", at positions 338 to 795 of the family's 1533-position model. The record is from RNAcentral.